GAUGAACGCUAGCGGCAGGCCUAAUACAUGCAAGUCGAGGGGUAGAGCUAGCUUGCUAGCUUGAGACCGGCGCACGGGUGCGUAACGCGUAUGCAACCUACCCUUUUCUGGGGGAUAGCCCGGAGAAAUCCGGAUUAAUACCGCAUAAGACCACGAUACGGCAUCGUGAUGUGGUCAAACAUUUAUGGGAGAAGGAUGGGACUUCGUGCCAUUAGCUAGUUGGCGGGGUAACGGCCCACCAAGGCGACGAUGGCUAGGGGAUCUGAGAGGAUGGCCCCCCACACUGGUACUGAGACACGGACCAGACUACUACGGGAGGCAGCAGUAAGGAAUAUUGGUCAAUGGGGGCAACCCUGAACCAGCCAUGCCGCGUGCAGGACGACGGCCCUCCGGGUUGUAAACUGCUUUUGUACGGGAAUAAACCCCGCUACGUGUAGCGGGCUGAAUGUACCGUAAGAAUAAGGAUCGGCUAACUCCGUGCCAGCAGCCGCAGUAA
This 496-nucleotide ribosomal RNA is filed under the name uncultured bacterium. RNAcentral describes it as "partial 16S ribosomal RNA". It matches the Rfam family "Bacterial small subunit ribosomal RNA", at positions 28 to 523 of the family's 1533-position model. The record is from RNAcentral.